Molecule: non-coding RNA, 4175 nt
Organism: Sus scrofa (pig)
Lineage: Eukaryota; Metazoa; Chordata; Mammalia; Artiodactyla; Suidae
Source: RefSeq, a predicted model, not a curated record
UCAUGGCAACGCCGGAUCCUUAACCCACUGAGUGAGGCCAGGGAUUGAACCCACAUCCUCAUGAAUACUAGUUGGGUUCAUUAACCACUGAGCCAUGACGGAAACUCCGACAUCUGCCUAUUUUUAACCUGGUGGUAGCAGCCAGCUUGUUCAGCUCCAGUAGCUGAACUAAGCCUAAGCUCUUGGGCUUAGUUCUUCUCAAGAGCAACAGCUUCUAGAAAUGGAGGAAAGUAGCUAAGAGCAGCAGGCAACAUACUUGAUCCUUUCCUAGAAUUAUUUAAUUGCAAGAACCCUGGGAAGAAGGCAUAGUUCUUAUUCCCUUUUUACCAAUACAGAUAAUGCAAAUAAGAGACUGAAUAGCUGUAGCUAGUGCACCAAGCAGAACUUGAAAGUAGGACAUGUUUCCAAAACCCAUAUUCCAGGCAACUUUCCCAUAUCCCCAGUGAGUGAGACCCAGAGCUGAUCUUACUGGUAAGUCCCAGGCACCCAUUUUGCUUGAUACUCGCUUACACAACCAGGCUUAUAUAUAAGUCUCUGAUUUCUAUGGCUGAGAAUGGAACUUUCCUCUAAGAUCAUUUUCCUUGCUAGGCAUCUUUGCUAUCCUGGUUACUUCUUAGUAACAAACCACUCUACGAGGACCAGGACCUAGUUCUUUAUACCCCACCUGCCACUGGACUCUAAAGGCUACUGAGAUCCAGCUGACUUGGGUGGCACCAGUACCCUCCAGGUGAUGCUGGUGUGUGCUGAAAUUGUGGAAGCACCACUAAAUCCAUCAGAUUCUUAAUCCCCGUUAUUUCAUUCCUGGGAAACAGUAGGAGACCCUGUUGAUCCUGAUCUUUUCUUUCAUUACCGGUACCAGCAUAUACAUCCAUCACACUAUUGUCAUUCUAGUAAAACCAACGUAAGUGGGAAUAACUGAAAAGGCAGACUAUUCUUUUCUGUCUCUAACACAGCUUUCCUGUCAUGUGUGUAACCAGCAAGCAAGCUUCAUUUGUGCUUCACUUGAACUUCAUUCGGAGUGAUAAGGCCUUGGCUGAGAUGAAACUCCCUCCAGAAAGUCUGUUCUGCUGACUGAAUGUGUCUCAUCUGUGUGCUCUCCUAGAAGCCUUGCUUCUCUGGUUAAAGCUAUCACAAGGUACUGUAAUAUUUCACUAGCUUCCCUGCCUCACCCAUCAUCCUAUGAGUUUCCUGAGGGGAGGGGAACCAUUUCUUUCUUAUUGACCACUAUAUUCAUAGUGCCUAGUCCAGUAUCAGGUCUUCAAUAAAUAUUUGUUGGCCAAAUGAAUGAACAGAGACAUAAAAUAGCUAGGAGAGCUUUAAUGCUGUCUAGCCUUUGACUUUCUCCUAGGUGGCUGCAAUGGAAUCUUAGCUUUAUUCCUAAUUCUAGAGGUAACAACUACAGAAAUGAAAAUUACAAAUUUUAAUUAAUUUUCCCUUAAAACUGAAGUCCAAACUGAAGUCUUUCCUCAGAUGAAAACAGUCAAAAUUGUUUUAGGGAUUAUCAGAAUUUGGCACUCAAAGAUGACAGGAGAGAGAAGAAGGAGGAGAGCAAGAGAGAUUGGUAUUUCACAUCCUUACUAGCCAGUAUAGUGGGCAUUUAGGAAAUCAUACAGUCAUAAAAGGCAGAAAUUCAUAAUCUAGUGGAGAAGAUAAGUCAUGGACACAAGUGUAACAAAAGAUAGGAAGAGUCAAGCAUCAUAUGGAGGUAAAGAAUAUCAUAUAAGAAUUGAGAGGGAAAAAGUUCUUCCAGCUUGGAGUGAGAUCUGGAAAUCUUACAUGAUAUAGGUCACAUGUGACCUGAUCCUGCAUUAAGAUUUAAAAGCUCUAUGUUCUUCAACAAAUUACAUUUCUUCCCGAGCACAUUCAAAAAUACAUUUUAGUCCCUUUUUAAAUGUGUAAUAUAUGAGAAAGAGGGUUAGUUUAAGAAAAUAAAGUAUGAAGACCCUAAAGAGCAGGAGUUUGGAUCUAGCUUUGCCAGGAGCUAGUUUGUAACCUUCAGAAGUUUCUUAAUAUUUUUGGACUUGAGUUUUCUCAUCUGCAAACUGAGCAGAUAAUAAAUGAUCUCUGAAGUCCUUUCUGGCACUAGCAUUCAGUGAGUGUCUAUAGUCUAAUCCUUUAUGCUGAUUAGACUUUUGUGGUUAAAUGCAAUUAGUUUUGCUAUGUGCUUCACGAUAAAUUCAGGCUCUGCAAUUCUUCAUUAUGCACAGAGGCAGUCAUGUCUUAUUGCUUAGUAGACAAAUGAAUUGUCAAUUUUAUAUGAAGAAAAUUAUUAGAGAUUAUGUGUCUGGAGGGAAAGAGUAACUCUUACAUUCAAAAGUGAAAUAAUAACUUUGGAAGUUCUUGAAAAGACUAUUGAAAUGUUCUUUGGAGUCAUAUAAUUAAAAAAGGAAGAUUGCAUGACUAGGUUCCCAGACGCUGCAGAAAUAGGCAAUGUAUGUCAUUAAGUAGAUGUUAUUUCAUUAGCCCUGACUAGGUGAAAGGGGGAGGAAGAAAGAACAUGCUGAUAUAUUUUGUCCAAUUUAUUAAAUCCUUGGAAAUGGUAUUCAAUCUAUUUUAAGAGAAAUCUGCUAAUGAGAAUGACCAGAAUUUACACCCUUUCUUGUUUACUUAACACCUGCUUGUCACUAGUAAGGGUAUUUGCUUUGAAGCAAUGCUCAAACGAAUGAAAUUAAAUAGCCCAGGAACAGGUAGAUGGAAAAUCAAUUGGAAAGCCCUAUGUAACUUCACUCACUAGUGUUGUUUCACUUAACCUGGCUAUAUACCAGGUAGUAUUCAGGUACCCUUUACAAAGAUGGAGUUACUCUUGGUCCUAUCAAAACAGCUCUCUAAGAAGUAAGCCUGUGGACGUAAGAAACUUCAAACUGAUUUCUUACUCUUAAGAUUCAGUUGCUUUGCUGAAAACUGAGACUAUAGAGAAGAUUCUCAGACAGUGGGAUAGCCAAGUAGCACUGAUGUUUCAGUGUCUUGCCUUUGGAACUAGAGUAUAAAUAUACCCUUCUCCCUGAUCCGUGAAAUGCAAAUAAGUCACAAGCAUGAGGAAGUAUACAGCUCAGAGAACAACCUAAGCCUUGGCUCUUUGUUCAUCAAAACUCAGGCACUGGCCCAGCUGCCUCACAAUGGACUUGGCAGUUGAGGUAGCCAUGGCCAAGAGGGUAGAGACAAGCAGUAAGCACAGUGGGACUUCAAAGAAACAGGACCAGGACACUGAAGGGCUUGAGUUGUCUGGAACUGACUUUAGUGAGUUGCCUAAAGAAAUUCAAGAAAGCUAAAGUAGAAAACAGGAGGACAGAGGACCAGAGAAGUCACCCAAGGUCAGAGGAUGAGUAAGUGACAGACAGUGGACUGCAGCUCAUUAUCCUGCAUUCUUACUUGGUUCGCUGGAUAAAGAUGGGCAGGGACUUUAUUUAACUUGGAAGAGAAAGUGGCAUGGUGAGAUUUAGAGUCACACAGGCCUGUGAACUGUGUGGGGAAAGGAGUGAUGCACUCAAAAUGCCUGGCAUGAAGGUGACACCCUGUGGGCAUUACCACCAGUUUCUCACCACCAGUCCCAAUGAACAGUCCAAUGGAAAACCUCACUGAUAAUUAUUUUGGAUUUUCACCACAAGGCUUAAGAAUAAACUUUCUUGACCAUAUAUGUAAGCACGUGGAAAAGACAACCCAUGUUUACUAAACAGUGACGUAUUAUUUUUUUAAGCUUUUUACCCAUUUGUUUUUUUCUUUUAACCCAACAAUGAUAAUACCUGCUUACUUUAACUUACUCUGUACUAAACACAGGUCCAAGUGUUGUUCUAGAAUUAAUCCUCAAAAUAAGCCAACAAGGCAGAGACUAUUAUGCUUUCUAUUUUUCAUAUGAGGACAGCAGGCAUGAGGUUAAACAACUUAUCCAAGGUCACUUAGUAAGUGGCAGAGCCAGGACUCAAGCAGACAGUGUGCUGCCAGAGCCCUACCCUGUUGUUAAUCCCUCUGCAAGGCUGCCUCCUGACACACACAUGCUAUUCUUUAUUAAGUGCACAGAAUGUAGACCUAAGACAUUAUUAAGCUAGAUUCAACAGAAACAUGAAACACUUAAGCGCACUUAUUACCAACUUUAGAGACUAAUUAAAAUUUAUUCUGGGGAAAGACUAUUUUAGAGUGAUGACAAAUCCACAAUAAAUUAAUUGGCCUGGAGCUGUCAA